RNAcentral lists this ribosomal RNA (302 nucleotides) under uncultured bacterium. RNAcentral describes it as "bacterial SSU rRNA". It matches the Rfam family "Bacterial small subunit ribosomal RNA", at positions 44 to 334 of the family's 1533-position model. The record is from RNAcentral.
GUGCCUAACACAUGCAAGUCGUGCGCGAAUGGAGCAAUCCUAGUAGAGCGGCGAACGGGUGCGUAACACGUGGGUAAUCUGCCCAGAAGAUCGGAAUAACCUGCCGAAAGGCAAGCUAAUACUGAAUAAGCCCACGGGGGCUUUGGCCCCUGAGGGAAAAGAUGGCCUCUGCAUGCAAGCUAUCACUUCUGGAUGAGCCCGCGGCCCAUCAGCUAGUUGGCGGGGUAAUGGCCCACCAAGGCAACGACGGGUAGCUGGUCUGAGAGGACGAUCAGCCACACUGGAACUGAGACACGGUCCAG